AACGAACGCUGGCGGCGCGUCUUAAGCAUGCAAGUCGAACGGUAAGAGAUGAGCUUGCUUCUCUCCUAAAGUGGCGGAAUGGUGAGGAACACGUGGGUAAUCUACCCUUUAGAUGGGGAUAGCUGCUAGAAAUAGCAGUUAAUAUCCAAUACAACAACCAUAUCACUAGGGGUGUUGUGGAAAAGAAGCUAUGGCUUCACUCGAGGAUGAUCUUGCGUUCUAUUAGCUAGUUGGUGAGGUAAAGGCCCACCAAGGCGACGAUGCGUAUCCGGCCUGAGAGGUUGACCGCACACAUGGGGACUGAGAAACGGCCCAAACUCCUACGGGAGGCAGCAGCGAAGAAUAUUCCGCAAUGGACGGAGUUCUGCCGGAGCGACGCGGCGUGGUUGAAGAAGGCUGAAGAGUGGUAAAAUCCGUUUGUUGAGGAAAAAGAAGGUUGAGAUGGAAUGCUCAUCUGAUGACGGUAACUAACGAAUAAGCCACGGCUAAUUACGUG
RNAcentral lists this ribosomal RNA (496 nucleotides) under uncultured bacterium. RNAcentral's name for it is "partial 16S ribosomal RNA". It matches the Rfam family "Bacterial small subunit ribosomal RNA", at positions 29 to 507 of the family's 1533-position model. The record is from RNAcentral.